UUAUACUUAGGAUAAUUUGUCAAUCGAAUUGACCAAAUUACCCCUAGAUGAUUCUUAAUCAUCCAUCAGUCUUUAUGAUCAAUGUAGAAAACUUUUAUGCGUGUGACCCCAUAGAUUUGAACAUAAGCUGGUAGCACAGGAACAACUUUCUGUACUAAUCGAUGUGACCAUCUAGUAAUGCUACCUGACAUCCGGAUAGGCCAAAUAUAUGCGAAGCAAUAUUCUGGAAUCCUGGACUAUGGUUACCGUAUAAUUAAUCCCUAUGACUCCUAAUGCCAGGAUGACAUCAAAGUUCUGUCAACUCUGUAAAAGUACAUCCAUUCUGUGAUUCAAUUUUAGAAAUUCUGUGAUUCCUCACAAGGAUUACCUUAGCCAAGGUUUUACUAAAUUGAAUACAAAA
This 400-nucleotide long non-coding RNA is filed under the name Phoenix dactylifera (date palm). Its description in RNAcentral is "long non-coding RNA (PDAC_LNC007648)". Lineage: Eukaryota; Viridiplantae; Streptophyta; Magnoliopsida; Arecales; Arecaceae. The record is from RNAcentral.